GCUGGUUCAAAGGGGAUGUGGUCGAAUACACAUCAUUAUCCUUGAUCAAAGAUGGAUACUAAAGACAGGUCACACUUUCUUUGACCUAUUAACAUCUCUGGGGCCACCUGACCAUUUAUCCCAUAAAAAAGCCUCUGUCUCUUUCUUACUCUGUCUCUUUAUGUCCUCUCUCUCAUAAACCACCCACCCCCACCCACCUGUCGUCUGUCAGACACCCUAAACAAAGGCACUGCCUCUGUCAGUCAGCUUUAACUUCCCCCUCCCCGGGCUAGUAGAUGUCAGGAGGCAGGCCAUAUCCCUAGAAAGCUGCAGCUGCUGUGCUGAUUGGGCUCGCCUUCAUAUUAGGCACGGCCCUAAACCGCCCCCACAACAAACACACACACACACACAGAGGCUGUGAAAAGAAGACAGAGAGAGGCUGCAAAGCAGAGUUGUCUUUUUCUGCUUGCCUGUUUUAUUGUGUGGAGUAUUGUCACUGCAGGAUAAAGAGCUGAAUAUUUAUUCAAAUUUUCUAGAGAAGUAAGUUAUUGCACAACCCAUUUCUGCUGGUACCUCUGUGUCCUCACCAAGCCCUGCUUCAGACAGACUGUUUCAGCGCUUGCUUACAGAGUCCAGUUCUUCAGCCUCGGCUCCAUCUGUGUCGUCCUCCCAUCUGGCUAGGUGUCCAGUAUCCAGCGUUCUGUCCCUGCUGCCCCCCCCCGUAGACCCAGCCCUACAGCUGCCACUGCCCGCCCGGACUCCGUACAGUCCCAGUCCGGCUUCACCAUGGUUUGGUGUGAGGACAUGGAGUGUGGGGUUUGCUACCAACCCUACUCCCGUGAGGAGCGGGUCCCCCGAGUUCUGCACUGCAGACACACCUUCUGCGCCACCUGCUUAGAGACCAUUUCCCUGCCGAAGAGUGGCCUGCUCACCGUGCGUUGCCCACUCUGCCGACAGACCACUUGUAUAGGUCGCGGCCUUACGCUCCACGAAGCGUUGUGGGUCAAUUCGCGCCUCUGGGACAACAUUUCUGAAAGUGAAGAAGAGCAGGACCAGGUGAUAGAGGUGAUGGAUGAGGAGGAGGAGGAGGAAGAAGAAGAAGAGGGGAUGGAGGCUAAUGUACCGACACACGCUGCCUCACAAGCCAAAGGCCCUACUCCAAAGCCCACAAGACCAAAACUUAAACUACCAGCCUUCUUCAGGAAAUUCAUUCUGUCAAAACCACAGCACCAAGAGCGGAUUGUGCCUGUCUGUACCAAUGUGGAGAUGAAAUCCUGGCGCAGGCUUUCAGCUGCUGAGACCUUUUAGUAGGUCAGCCACAUAUUGAUGGACUAUUCAGGAUGCGCAGUCAGCUGCUUCAGCCAACGCGCAGUCAACUGCUUCAAGUCAACUUUUCUGCUCUUCUGCCAGCCUCUUAUGGAAUUGCUAUGCCCUCAUUCUUUACUGUCAUGUCACAGACACUGAAGAUGGGGCUGACUGGAGCACCAGCAGAUCAGAAGAGUUCCUCUGGGAUUGCAGCAAUUGUCUCUUUCAACAAGGUGUACAUUACCAGCUGACCCAACUGUCAACCCUGUCAGGAGAGUUUAGAGACGGUGUUCCAAAUGGCACUCCUGUGGUUAAAAGUAGUGGACUACAUAGGGAAUAGGAUCUGAUUUGGGAGACCCUCAGAGAGAAAUCUAGAAUCUAUCCAUGUGUCUGACUGACAAGACAGGCUUCAUUGUUGAAGCACUGACAUCUCCACAGUUUCUCCCGUCUCCCUCCCCAUUAGUUAUUCUGGCUGUAAUUUUUCACAGCUGGUGCAUUGGGAUUUUGGAUUUGGUUCAGCUGUCCCUUUAUAGGACAGACAGCCUAGUGGAAGCCAGGGUAACCCCCCCCCCUUUACUUAACAGAUGCCCCCCCCCCCCCCCCCCCGAAGAUGAUCCCUCCCCUCCACUUUCCAGUGUCAGCAAACAAAAUAUUUAAUUUAUUGUCAGCUUUUGUAUUUAUGUUCAUUUUUAAAAACUUUUAAAUAAAAACGUUUAGCAAAAAG
Molecule: long non-coding RNA, 2008 nt
Organism: Esox lucius (northern pike)
Lineage: Eukaryota; Metazoa; Chordata; Actinopteri; Esociformes; Esocidae
Source: Ensembl